UGAGCCAAAAUCAGGAGUUGGAUGCUUAAUCGACUGAACCACCCAGGUGUUCGAAGAUUAUUUGUGAAAACUAUUAAGAGAAAUCACAAAAAUGGAAAGCAAGAAAAAGAGUGAAAGACCCUCCCUGCUCUGGUGUUCUACUCAACCUGGAUCAUUAUCAGCCCUUUUCCAUUUCAUGACAUAUAUCACAGGUCACAAAUUACAAAUUAUUUCUCAGAUACCAGCAAAAUCAACAGAGACUAGAAAAGUACAGCUAAGUACACUCCUCGCCCUCCUUCAGCCACACGUCUAAGGGUCACCUCCAGCUUACAGAACACUGAGUUUUUCUUCCAGAUUCCUGAAUGCUGAGUCACACUUAAGCCACAGCUCAACAUCUCUUGUUGGAAUUUUGAAAUGACGACUUGGUGCUGGUGACCCUGCUUUGAUCAUAAAAUGAGAACAAGACUUUAAAAAAUAAGGCUUUAAAAAAUAAGGAAACAACAUGAUAGCCAGAAACUGGGUUGAAUGAACCUGUGAUUAAGUGCUGUCUAUCCAUUAGAAACACCUGCCUGUGUUUGAACUGUUAGGUGCAAGAAAAGUAAAUGUCUACUAUGUGUGAGCCCCACCUUUUUUUGUUUUGUUUUGUUCUCAUUGUUGCAACAUAUAUCCUAAUUUGUAACAGUUUCUUUGCUACCGCUGCAGUCUCCUCUCUUAACCAGUUUUCCUGGAGCAGUUGACCUUUGGUUUAGGCUCAGCUCACGAUUUCACAGUUGGUGGGUUUAAGAGAAUCUGAUGC
This is a long non-coding RNA of Suricata suricatta (meerkat), 775 nucleotides long. RefSeq lists it as uncharacterized. The record is from RefSeq and is a predicted model, not a curated record. The transcript is spliced from 5 exons. Lineage: Eukaryota; Metazoa; Chordata; Mammalia; Carnivora; Herpestidae.